RNAcentral lists this small nuclear RNA (331 nucleotides) under Chinchilla lanigera (long-tailed chinchilla). Its description in RNAcentral is "7SK RNA (ENSCLAG00000022100.1)". It matches the Rfam family "7SK RNA". From Rfam's summary of the family: 7SK was discovered as an abundant small nuclear RNA in the mid-70s but a possible function has only recently been suggested. The record is from Rfam by way of RNAcentral. Lineage: Eukaryota; Metazoa; Chordata; Mammalia; Rodentia; Chinchillidae.
GGAUGUGAGGGCGAUCUGGCUGCGAUAUCUGUCACCCCAUUGAUCACCAGGGUUAAUUUGACUGAUCUUGCUGGAGAGGAAGGUGCCCCCUUCCUUCCUCAACACUCCAUGUGCGUCCCUCCCAAAGCUGUAUACUCGGAUGAAGAGGAAGACCACUCCCAGAUAGAGGAGGAUCAUUCCUCGAUCAAGGGCAUACGAAUAGCUGCACUCCCCUGCUAGGACCUCCAAACACGCUCUUAAGACGUGUUUGUUUCGUGCUGACUGAGAAGUAAGUCACUACUUUUGACAUCUUCACAGAUAUAAAUUUGAAACAAGUGUAACAUUUGAUAUC